Molecule: ribosomal RNA, 389 nt
Filed under: uncultured bacterium
Lineage: Bacteria
Description: bacterial SSU rRNA
Rfam family: Bacterial small subunit ribosomal RNA
Source: RNAcentral
GUGUCAGCAGCCGCGGUAAUACGUAGGGUGCGAGCGUUGUCCGGAAUUACUGGGCGUAAAGAGCUCGUAGGUGGUUUGUCGCGUUGUUCGUGAAAACCGGAGGCUUAACCUCUGGCGGGCGGGCGAUACGGGCAGACUGGAGUACUGCAGGGGAGACUGGAAUUCCUGGUGUAGCGGUGGAAUGCGCAGAUAUCAGGAGGAACACCGGUGGCGAAGGCGGGUCUCUGGGCAGUAACUGACGCUGAGGAGCGAAAGCGUGGGGAGCGAACAGGAUUAGAUACCCUGGUAGUCCACGCCGUAAACGGUGGGUACUAGGUGUGGGUUUUGGGAUCCGUGCCGUAGCUAACGCAUUAAGUACCCCGCCUGGGGAGUACGGCCGCAAGGCUAAA